GAUGAACGCUGGCGGCGUGCCUAAUACAUGCAAGUCGAGCGAACGGACGAGAAGCUUGCUUCUCUGAUGUUAGCGGCGGACGGGUGAGUAACACGUGGAUAACCUACCUAUAAGACUGGGAUAACUUCGGGAAACCGGAGCUAAUACCGGAUAAUAUUUUGAACCGCAUGGUUCAAAAGUGAAAGACGGUCUUGCUGUCACUUAUAGAUGGAUCCGCGCUGCAUUAGCUAGUUGGUAAGGUAACGGCUUACCAAGGCAACGAUGCAUAGCCGACCUGAGAGGGUGAUCGGCCACACUGGAACUGAGACACGGUCCAGACUCCUACGGGAGGCAGCAGUAGGGAAUCUUCCGCAAUGGGCGAAAGCCUGACGGAGCAACGCCGCGUGAGUGAUGAAGGUCUUCUGAUCGUAAAACUCUGUUAUUAGGGAAGAACAUAUGUGUAAGUAACUGUGCACAUCUUGACGGUACCUAAUCAGAAAGCCACGGCUAACUACGUG
This 497-nucleotide ribosomal RNA is filed under the name uncultured bacterium. RNAcentral's name for it is "partial 16S ribosomal RNA". It matches the Rfam family "Bacterial small subunit ribosomal RNA", at positions 28 to 507 of the family's 1533-position model. The record is from RNAcentral.